Molecule: ribosomal RNA, 253 nt
Filed under: uncultured bacterium
Lineage: Bacteria
Description: partial 16S ribosomal RNA
Rfam family: Bacterial small subunit ribosomal RNA
Source: RNAcentral
UACGUAGGGGGCAAGCGUUGUCCGGAUUCAUUGGGCGUAAAGAGCGUGUAGGCGGCCAGGUAGGUCGGUUGUGAAAACUGGAGGCUCAACCUUCAGAGGUCGACCGAAACCAUCUGGCUAGAGUCCGGGAGAGGAGAGUAGAAUUCCUGGUGUAGCGGUGAAAUGCGCAGAUAUCAGGAAGAACACCCGUGGCUAAGGCGGCUCUCUAGUACGGUACUGACGCUGAGACGCGAAAGCGUGGGGAGCGAACAGG